RNAcentral lists this ribosomal RNA (489 nucleotides) under uncultured bacterium. RNAcentral's name for it is "partial 16S ribosomal RNA". It matches the Rfam family "Bacterial small subunit ribosomal RNA", at positions 138 to 534 of the family's 1533-position model. The record is from RNAcentral.
GUUGUUAAAAACUUAUAAAAAAGUUACAAUGUUACGUGCUGUAGAGGCUACAUUACUUGAAUGUAGCAAAUUAAUAAUAAUACAAUUAGUUAGCAAAAAAUUAAGUUGAUCUAGGGAAAAACUUCUUAAAAGAUUAGAUAGUUGGUUUAUUGAUAGUUAAACCAAGUCUUAUCUUUCGUUGGUCUGCAAGGAUGUACAACCACAUUGGGGAUGCAAAUAUCCAAAAUUUUCUUCGGAAAUCAGCAGUGAGGAAUCUUGGACAAUGAGCGAAAGCUUGAUCCAGCAAGGUGUUGUGAGAGAUGACGAGUGUUUUGUAAAGUUAGUGAAAAUUUAUUAGUAUAGUAAAAUAUUUUCUAUUAUUUUUUAUACUAUAGUAAUACAACGUAGAUUGUUGUUUUCAGGUCUGUUUGUAGUUCUUAUAAUGACGUAAACUACACAUGAAAGUCCCCGGCUAACUUCGUGCCAGCAGCCGCGGUAAUACGGGGGGGG